This is a long non-coding RNA of Anas platyrhynchos (mallard), 1655 nucleotides long. RefSeq lists it as uncharacterized. The record is from RefSeq and is a predicted model, not a curated record. Lineage: Eukaryota; Metazoa; Chordata; Aves; Anseriformes; Anatidae.
UGCAGUCCUCUGACAUGUUCCGUACCGUGGUGCUGCCAGCCCGGCUGGUUUCCCUCAGCCCGUUUCUGACAGUGAGCCACGAAACUUCAGCCACCUCGACUUUAAAUAUUUAUACUUGGAUCUGAAAGCCCGUUCAAAUCUGAUGUGUGUUGUACUCCCUGGGCUCUGCAAUUAAACGUGAUUAGGACUUUUCAGGUGAUGUCACGGACGAGCAGUGCUCCUGAACCCUCCUAGGACACCCCAGCCUGUUGGAGAUGCGGUCCCGGAGGCGUUGGCAGCCACUGCUGGGUGCGAUGCUGGUGGAGAUGUGCUGCUCUGAGAGCCCCAGUAAUGCUCGGGGCAAGCUUUGACCAGAAAUACACAGCUAGUACCCAAAAGCAUCACAGCAGCCAACACACCCCCCUUUAGCAUAAAGCUGGGGCUGGGGCAGGAGCUGCUUUCAGGUGUGUUUUCCACGCACACUACUUCGAGCCAGCAGAAUGAAAGUCACCCGAGUGGCUUUUAACACCCCUCUGCUGCUCACUGCUCUUUGCAUGGCAUUUGUUGGUCUUCCCAGCUUGGUGUCACCAGCAGCAUGCAACUUCUUCCUUCCUUCCCAGCCUUUAGCCAGAUCCUGGUGGUGAGGAAUGCAAACGUGGGCAGCUGCAGGUCGGUCGCAGAGACAUCCCAAACAACUGCUCUCUCCUGAAUCUUUAUUGCACCCAUUUAAUCUUGCAGUCCCACAGCUCAGAGAGUAAAAUUCUGUUGCUGUAGUACUUAGUAAAGAGCUGGAUGCUUUGGUACAUACUACAGAGCUAAAUGCUUUUUGAUUUGUCCUCUGUCUCCCGUCUGUCCCCACAGCCUGGCACAGUCCCCGCCGCGCUGCCCCAUGCACGGCUGCGUCCCCAGCCCUCACACCCACCCCGGGGCCCAGACAGGGCACUGGCGAGUUAAACAGCCUUCUUCCCCAGCCCGAUACAAUAAAUCAGGCAUUUUAUGGCUGCAGAAGUCAUGAGAGGACGGGCACACCGAGCCUGCAGAUGGAGACCAGACGGGAGGAAGGGAAGGCUUGGUGCCUGCGGUAAUCACGCGGAUCAAUGGCACUCAGGUUUCUGCAGCCCGUCCUGGGCCCUGCUCCCGACUGCUGCUGAUUUAUGGGCAGGAGCCAGCAGACACAACCCGACCCUCACGGCUCCCCGAGCCAGCUCCUGCUCGGCCAUUUACCAUCUCAGCUUCCCCACAGCCUCCUCCCACCUACGUGGGGGGCCCCUGGGACACGCUGGGCACUUCAGCCCCUGGCUACAUCCCUGCGAGUCACAAAAGAGCAGGGGAUGCUCCAGGUCCAGGUACCCUUUGGCUGACCUUUGGCUUUGCUUCAUGCCUGUUCUCCUUCUCAAACCCAGGCCUCAGGCACGGGGCAAGGUUUUCCUGGGAGGGGACAAACCACCUCAGCUUCUUCCUCAGAGCCACUCCUGUGGACGGGGCUGGUGUCCCCAGGCAGCAGCUCCCACGGGUGGCAGCGUGCAUUGCCAGCCCGGCCCCUUCCAGAGAUCAGAUGGACGUGCAGAACCAGCACACAGCCAUUAGCAUUCAAACAAACAUAGGAGGUUUGUUUCACACACUGUAACUAACAGUCGGAAAUAAAAUUGUGUAAUAAAAGGAAUGAACAAAAAUAU